This 742-nucleotide ribosomal RNA is filed under the name Pseudomonas putida. Its description in RNAcentral is "bacterial SSU rRNA". It matches the Rfam family "Bacterial small subunit ribosomal RNA", at positions 35 to 772 of the family's 1533-position model. Lineage: Bacteria; Pseudomonadati; Pseudomonadota; Gammaproteobacteria; Pseudomonadales; Pseudomonadaceae. The record is from RNAcentral.
GCUGGCGGCAGGCCUAACACAUGCAAGUCGAGCGGAUGACGGGAGCUUGCUCCUGGAUUCAGCGGCGGACGGGUGAGUAAUGCCUAGGAAUCUGCCUGGUAGUGGGGGACAACGUUUCGAAAGGAACGCUAAUACCGCAUACGUCCUACGGGAGAAAGCAGGGGACCUUCGGGCCUUGCGCUAUCAGAUGAGCCUAGGUCGGAUUAGCUAGUUGGUGGGGUAAUGGCUCACCAAGGCGACGAUCCGUAACUGGUCUGAGAGGAUGAUCAGUCACACUGGAACUGAGACACGGUCCAGACUCCUACGGGAGGCAGCAGUGGGGAAUAUUGGACAAUGGGCGAAAGCCUGAUCCAGCCAUGCCGCGUGUGUGAAGAAGGUCUUCGGAUUGUAAAGCACUUUAAGUUGGGAGGAAGGGCAGUAAGCGAAUACCUUGCUGUUUUGACGUUACCGACAGAAUAAGCACCGGCUAACUCUGUGCCAGCAGCCGCGGUAAUACAGAGGGUGCAAGCGUUAAUCGGAAUUACUGGGCGUAAAGCGCGCGUAGGUGGUUCGUUAAGUUGGAUGUGAAAGCCCCGGGCUCAACCUGGGAACUGCAUCCAAAACUGGCGAGCUAGAGUAUGGUAGAGGGUGGUGGAAUUUCCUGUGUAGCGGUGAAAUGCGUAGAUAUAGGAAGGAACACCAGUGGCGAAGGCGACCACCUGGACUGAUACUGACACUGAGGUGCGAAAGCGUGGGGAGCCAA